UAAAUUUCUACCCUUCAGCCCUACUCCCCUCGGCCUCCACGCCCCUCCUCCCCUUGACCUCGGUUCCCUGGUUUCUCAAGGGGGUGGGGAGUGUGUGUGUGUGUGUGUGUGUGUGUGUGUGUGUGUGUGUGUUUAAAACGUCCAGGAUUGAGGAGGGGCCGGGCCCAGCGGAGACUCCGGGCCCACGGCUGCCAUGCUCCAGUGCAGACAGACAAUCGGACGGGGUAAGCCGGGGCGGGCUGCUUUCCCCGCUGUCCUUGAGUGUUGAGUGGCUGUCUCUCUGUCUCUCUGUCUCUCUCUCCUUCUCUCUCUCUCUCCCCCCACCACCCUCCCCGCGGGAUCCCCCAGGGAUCGGGCACACAAGGCCUGCCAGGUCGGGAGGUCCACUGAUGUCUGUCGGGAAAGGUAGCCGAGGACGGGCUCUAACGAGGUGCUGGGAUAUCCAUGGGAAGGGAGCCGGAGCCCUCAGGAAUCUUGUCUUUAUGUUUGCUUCCUCAAUUGAGCUGCACAAAGCCUGAAUUGCCCAUUCAGCGCGGCCGGACAAAAGGCUGGCGUUGCACGGUCCCCUUGCAUUUGUAGUCAAACAGUUAGGGACUUAAAUCGAGUCGUCGUGAUGGAGAAAGAGGUGGACAAAGCCCAUAGAAUUGCCAUCAGCAAACAUUUUCCUGUGUCAUAUUAGCCAGUCUCCAUGGCACCCCCUGGCCUGGGGACAAUGGCACAAGUUUGCACACUUGGCUACUGUCACCGUGCCAACGCCGGCAGGGCUGCAAGCAGGGCCACUCUGAGCGAGCAAGGAGCCCAGAGCCGGCGCUGGCCCUGCCCACCACUGGCCGGAGGGAAGGUAGCUGCUGCCAGGACGAGGCACCUGCCCACGGUGGCCCGAAGGCAAGCCAAGUCCCUUCCGGCCUGAGGGUCCCUACAGGCAAAACGAAGGGUUUGGAGGAGGUGGCCCUGUGCUGACAAGCUGUGACGCAAUUUAGGCCUUGAAGAGCCAGUGCGGUAUUUUCCAUGCCCCUUUCCUGCCGCAGGGGAGAGGGCGUGUGGAUUCAGAUGGGUGCGGCAAAGGUGCGGAGCACCCUGGAGUGUUGGCCGCCGCGCGCUCUGGAGAGCUGUCCCCAUGUGCAGCAGCCUCUGCCCGGCGAGAGCCGAGCCUUCGUUGUCGGGGCUUCUGUGUUUCUGUGGCAUGUCCCAGCCCACCAGACUGGCACAGGCAGGAAACGUCCUUCCUGAUCCAAACCACCUGGUGCACGCUGCUGGCCCACGGUCGCCAGGGUGGGCUCCUGCCCAUUCCCCCCAUGGCUCCCUGCUGCCCCCCGCGUGCGGCUGGUGGGCACAACGGCCCGGCACUGGGAUCCUUCCUAGCUGCCUGCUUCCUGCACCCCGCUCGUCCCCCGCUGGCCUUCUGCACGCCGCGUCUGGGCCUGCCGGUCCCUCUCUCUCGAACAUGCCUCUCCUGAGGGCGUCCAGCCCCUCGGCUCAGAUCUCCGCUUCCUCCAGAUGCCAUCGCACCUGCGGUCGUGUCACCCCCUGCUCAUGGCGACCCCUCCGGCAGGCCGGGGGCUCCAUGGGAGUCUACCCUGGUGUCUUAAGGAAGUCUCGCCAUAGCUCAUAACAGGGGCUGUUGUUUCACCAAACGCUUUCUGAGUUAAGAAGGAAGAAGAGGGAAGAGAAGACGAAAGGGGGGAGGGAAACGGGAUGGACGGAGAAAGCUGACACCUGUCGGGCAUCCCCUCUGUGCGGAGAGCCGCGCUGCAUGAUCUCGCGGGGAAGACCCGCCAGGCCCUCCGGGCGGCUCCGCGAGGGUGGUGCUGCUGCCACUAGCCCACGAGGGACGUGAGUCACCCUCCCACGGCCGCGAGGCUAAUAACUAGCAGAGCCGGAACUGGAAGCCAGGCCGCCUGCGAGCACAGCCCGUGCGGGACUCGCCACCCGGCCGCCGCCGUGAGCUGGCGCGGAGGCCGGGCGCCGCCCCAGCGCCCUCGGCUCUGAAGGCCUCGAAGACCAGACUUCCCGCACGAGUCCUGGGGCUGCUCUUCUCUCCCAAGGUCAAGGCGUGACGGCCAACUUCCCACUGAGGAACUUGGGAGCCUCAGCUUCCGGAGGUCGGGAGAGAGGGUCUUACUGACUCAAGGCACAGAGGCCUGAGAACCUGAUCUAGUGGCAACGACACCACACCCAGGCCUCGGGCCAGGUUUCCGGGGCUGCCUCUGACCCACGGUGGGGCGGGGGGCUCCUCCGAGCUUUUCCGACAGGCCAUACAGACAGGUGGAACGCCAGCAGUAAUAAUAAUUUUGCCUCCCUCUAGAGAGCCCUUUCCCAGUUGCUCUCUCAUUAUGGUCCCAUGUCUGGGUGGGGAGGGAAUUAUUUUCCGUAUUUACAAUUGUUGACACAACCAUAGAUGCCUCAAACUUCUGAUUCCUGGGCCCAACUCAGCCAUCCCUGUCUUCUUGGCGUCCUUCAAGGCCCAGCUCAAACAGCCCCUCCUCCAGGAAGACUUCCACCAACCCCCAGCAUUACUAGCGACACCCUCUCCCAUCCCUGUGUUCGUAGAGUCGAGGAUGAAAUCUAACCCCCUCAGACAGAACACAGAAGGCCCUUUAUAAUCUGACCCCCUACCACAACCUGGCACAGAGUAGCUUCUUACCAAAUGUUCUAUGAAUUAAAUACUUUGCCCCUUCCAGUGAACUAUGGACUAGAAACAGCUGCUUCCUGGCUUGGGUUUUUUGUUUAUUGUUUGGCCCCAAACCCCACCCAGGUGAGCUCCAGGAGAGGAGGGAGCUUGUCCUCAGGUUCAUCUCUGUAUCUCCAGUGACUAGAAUGGUCCCGGCCAGAGCAGGCCCCAGUGAGAGACCUCGCAGUGCCGUGGCUGCACUUGGUGAGGAAGUGUCUAUGGUCCUACAGAUAUGUGGCUCUCGGAAGCUGGACACACCCCUUCACGGCUGACCCGCCCAGCACCGGAGCAGGGGUUCCAUAAAGCCCUAAAAGGCGAGUGAGCUCUGCUGACUUGAACCGAACUGGAUUGGGGUGGGCGGGGGUGGCUGACCUCCCCUUCCCGCCCAGCUGUUGCUGCCAGGACCCCCCAGACCCAGCUGUGCUGACCCUGCCUCAAGUUCAUCGGACCCUCCAGCCUCGGGCACCUGCUGCUUCACAUCAACGCCCGCAGCACCUGCUAUGUGCUGGGGACCGGAGGGUGCGGAGGUGGCGUCCCUGCUUUGCCUUUGCUGACCGAACAGCCAUCUUACCCCCGCACAUCAGUGGAGCAGAACAACAUCCGAACAGACCGUCACCCAGAACCUCUGGGCACCCCCAGACACGACCCACUUCCGGGGUUUGGCCUGGAAUGUGUGUAGACUGGAACUGCAAGUGAGAAAAGGCAGUUGGCAGGGGCGUUCCCAGGCCAAGCCCGAGGGGACCCGAGGAGGUCAUCUGGGGCAAGGGGUUCUCAAAUUUCUUUUAAGCAGAGAAACCCAUGUAAAAAUGUUUGGAAGUCCAACGUGUAAAAUUGUGACAGCACAGUGCUGUGAGUACAAAUUUGUUUUGCACAUUCAGAUGCAUACGUUCUACUUGUUUUGCAAACAGCAGAUUAGGACAAGGAGUCUGUUUUGAUGACAUAAACCUUUGAAAUCAGGAAUUAUGGAUUAUGGUCUCAAAUCAACCGCACUGUGCUUAGGUUGCAGAACAUUUAUAAAGUCUUGACUUAUAGACAUAAGUAGCUGAAAUGGUAGUUUUUUUCAAAGUUUAUAUUUUGAUCUUAGGACAGUCAUCAAUGAAAAGGAAUCUCAGGAGAAGCUUUAUUACCUGGUCCCCAGAGGGGUUCACCUGACCCCCGAGGUGACCUGCCGGCAGCCCAGUGUAACAGCGGUGAGUUAAAAUGCACUUGAAUGUGAGUCUGUUUGCUGAUACAGUUUUUAGAGCAUAAUGUUUUAAAUGGCCAAAAAUAAGUUUUACAGGAGAUUUAACAUUUUCUGACCUCUACAGAAAAUUCAGUUCCAAAAGAUAGGCCAACUUCUCAUUUCAGAGAUGGAAAAAGAGAGGCGCACAGAGGGCCAGUGAUUCAGGGCCGAGUGGACGGAGGACCCAGGGCUGUACGGUUCCGCCUAGUAAGCCCAUUAUACAGAGGAGGAGACUGAGGGACCAGCCCGGCAGAGAUGCGCCAGCCCGGAGAACAGUCGGGAGUGUCAUUUACAAACUUCAUAGGCAUGCCCGAGUCACCCCUCAAGGGCCCCAUCACCUCAGCCAACACGUCUGAAGUGUAGAUGUGCCAGGUAAACUGAGGCAGCGUGGGACAGUGGAUAAGGGCUGGGUUCUGGGGUCCACAGGACCUAGCCUCUCCAUGUGGCUUCUUGGCUUCUCCACAACAUGGUGGCUGGGCUCGGUGCAAGCAUCUCAAGAGACAGGAAGUGGGAGCUACCAGUUGCUUAAGACCACGGCCCAGGAACUGGCACCAUGUCACUUUCAUGGUAUUCUCUUGGUCAAGCACUCACCAAGCCCAGAUUCCAGAGGGACAUAGGGACAUAGAUCCUGCCUGUCAAUGGAAGGAGGGCGUGUCAAAGAACUCUGAGGUCAUGUUUUAAGACUGCCACAGUCUGUGACCUCAGGCAAGUGGCUCAGUCUCUCAGGAUCCCAGUUUCCUCUGUAAAAUGGGCGCGGUGGUAGCCACUUCACAGGGUUGCUGUAUGAGGCGAUACCCACAAAAGCCGAGCUCUCAGUAAGGUGCAAAAUCAUGACUUGAACACAGCCCCUCAUGGCUCCACAGUCAGCACCCUGGUACCACCCACACAUCAAGCUGGGGCAUGCUCACUGUCCCUUCAAGGCCUGGGACAACGCUGGGAGGACAGUUUGGCUGCAAAGUCCAGUUAGGAAGUGGGCAAGCCCCUUGGGGGUCAGUGGGCUCAGAGAGCAUUGUUUGGUGGCUAGUUGAAUGGGGGCCAUAACUUCUCCUGCGAAAACUAUGCUUUUUGUCUGUGAGGUUACUCUAGGCCUGAAGGUCCUGUCAGCUGACUUAUUCCUGUCUUGUCCACCUGCCAGGACCCCACUGUCUCCUGUGAGUCUCUUUUCUCCCACAGACACCUUGAGCCACAGUCAGAGAUAGAAGGGACCUCGGACACCGAGAGGAACACUGUGGGGCAGGAGAGAGAGCCGCUCGGGAGGCACAAACCUGGCUUCAGCUCUGCUGCUCGCCGGCUGGGUGGCCACGGGCAAGUCACUUAACCUCUCUGACCCUCAGCCUCUCCCCCUGCCGGGUGGCACCUGCCCGCCACGUCCUUGGAGGAGGCCAAGGUAACACCACAGAGUGUGUGGCCCGGCACUUCCUUUUGUGAGAGCUGUGGAAGUGCAGCUCGCCCAACCCCCUUAUUAAUCAGAUGAGGAAACUGAGGCCGGGAGGUGGACAGGCUUGCCCAAAGCAACCUGAUGAGCUACUGGUAUGGACAAGAGUCCUGACCCCAAGACCAGUGUGUUCUUUCCCGCUCUUCCAAACCCACUCUCCCCGCACCCUGAAGGAGAAAGUGCAGGAUUCUCCUCUGAGUGCUCGGCCUUGGCCUCACAUGGCCACGAGAGGGAGCCCUGCAAUUGCUCAGGGCCUCUCUCAGGCAAAGGAUUCUUUCAUCCUGUCUGCACCGAGGCUGCCCAGGCCAGCGGCCUGUGCCCCGCCCCCGCCAGCCCGUGCAAGGUAUUCCAGAUCCCUGCACCUCCGCCUUCCCACCUCCGCCCUCCACCACCCUUCCCUGUCCCCAUCCCAGAAUUGUCCUUUUCCUUGUUCUUGUCCUUUCCCCAAGCAUGGCUGGGAUCCCCAAAAAUCCCAUGUUGUCUUUGCAGAGCAGGUGGCCCACAUUUGCGACUCUCCUGCUCACUUUGGCUUCAGGAUUACGGUGACACUGUUCUGUUAUCUGUGAGUGUCCACUCACAUUCCUGUCCCUCUGUUCCACAGACAUCUCAGCACCUGCUGGCGGGGUGGGGGUGGGGGCCGGAGGCCAGGCCGGGAGGUGGAGGAGGCGGGAGAGGUCUGAGGAUCCUGCAGACACAGCCCCUGCUCUCGAGGAGCUCACAGCGCCCAGUGUGGCGGGGAGAUGGUGCAGUCGCCACACACGGUGACAGGACACGGCGUGUUGGUCGGAGAGUCCUAAAAGAUGCAAAGCAUUUGGCCGGGUGAAUAGGCCUGCAGGUCCUAAGAAGCCACGAGGGAAGACCUCUGGGGCAGGGGUGCUACCUGGGGGAGCGCCCACUAUCUGGACAGUUUCCGCAUCUGCAAGUGGGACAAAUAACACCUCCGCUGCCUCCUUCGUGGAAGAAGGACCGUGUCAGCGCGUGCACAUGGAAGCAGGUUGGAAACUCUAAAACACCUGCCCACAUGGGGGUGUGCUUUAGCAGCAGUAUUUCCAUCUGUCCCCAGGCGUUGCUGGCCUUGGGCCACACCCAGUGAGCCUUCAGUCCGCCUUCAGCACCCAAGUUCCUGUCCCGAUCUUCUUGCAGACACAUUUUCGAGACCACUCGGGUGGCUAGGUCAGUAAUGAGAGUCCCUGUGGGGCUCCCACGGCCUCCGAUCAGUGACUGAGCCUCCAGGGCCUCCCGCCCCUCUUCCCUAGCUGGGCUUUCCUGUGAGUCAUUCCAGGGUCCUUGUACAGGCCCAUUAGGAUAAAAACAGGAAGGAAGGCCAGCAAGCCCUGACUGAGGCCAUCCCUGGGCUCUUAGAAGACUAGAGUCUGUGAAAACCACCUGUGGGACCUGCCCCGGCACCCAGGGAGUGCCAGCCCGAAAGCCCUCGGAAUCUGGGUGAAUAGGGACUGCGGGAAUGUUGGGAAUGCCCCACUGUCCCUUCCUCCAGGUCUUUCUGGACAACACAAACAAACAGCUAUUUCCAAGUUGCAAUCUCCAAAUGCGAUCCUCCUGGUCUAGGGUGGGGCAGGGGUGGAUGAGAGGUGAGGACCCUGCAUGCUCCAGCCGCCCCCUCUGCGGGCCCGGGGGACCACUCCUAAUAUCUCAGAAAGCACGUCUAUGUUCCCAAACCCCUGACACUUGCAGGACAUAAGACUUUGUUUCAGAUUCUCUGGCCUCGCUGUGCAUAACCAAGUCUGUAAUUCUCUGGUUCUCCCCGGCAGAGAGCAUUCUCCAAGAAGAGGAUGGAGGUGCUGCCUUAGGAACCGCCUGGGAUCUCCUUAGGACUGGAAAUGUCUCCAGAAGCAAAUCAGCCUCUCUGGGGACUGGGGUUGGCCCCGGAGCCCCUCUGCUCCUAGGGGACCAAUGAGGGCCUGGACUCUGAGUCCAGGACCAAGGAUUUGGGAGAGGGACCUUCCCUCCCUGGCCAAGGGAAAGGAAGUGGGGCUACCAGCUGCUGCCCCAAGAGGCUGGAGGUUCGUAUACCUACCGGGUACCCUGUCCCAAUCUCUUUUCUCUGAAGGCUACCCUGACUAGCCAUUUUAGCCAGGUUCAGCUAAAUUUGAAGGCUGGGAUGAUCAGGUGUGUCGAAACAUUUUUCAGAAGUCUAAACCCCCAGUGCUGUCAAGCAUGUGGAGAAAUGUUAAUAGAUGCGCUUAUGCAUUGUUGAUGUGGGUGUAUAUUGCUAUCCACUCUUUGGAGGGUAUUUUGAUAGUAUCUAUUAAAAGGUGAAAUAGAGAUGUCCCCAGACUCAGCAAUUCCACUUCUAAGAGUCAAUUCUACAGAAAUAUGUGCACACAAGCACAAAGGGUUGUGCGUGAGGAUGUUUGCAGAAAUGUUGUUUGAAA
Non-coding RNA from Microcebus murinus (gray mouse lemur), 7721 nucleotides. The record is from RefSeq and is a predicted model, not a curated record. Lineage: Eukaryota; Metazoa; Chordata; Mammalia; Primates; Cheirogaleidae.